Small nucleolar RNA from Macaca fascicularis (crab-eating macaque), 99 nucleotides. Lineage: Eukaryota; Metazoa; Chordata; Mammalia; Primates; Cercopithecidae. The record is from Ensembl.
AUUCUUUUAUGGUUCAGAGCAUGAUAAUUGGGUUUUCACGCUACGUGUGAGAUGUACCUCCCUCAAACCUUAAGACGUCAGCACAUUACCAAUCCGACA